Molecule: long non-coding RNA, 445 nt
Organism: Herpailurus yagouaroundi (jaguarundi)
Lineage: Eukaryota; Metazoa; Chordata; Mammalia; Carnivora; Felidae
Exons: 2
Source: RefSeq, a predicted model, not a curated record
UGAAGUCGGAUGCUCAACCGACUGAGCCACCCAGGCGCCCCUCUAGUGGUAUUUUCUAUGGCAGCCCAAGCAAACUAAUAUAGCACAUAAUGAAAAUUUACAUUUCCAAGCCCCACCUUGAACAUUCUGGAUCAGAAUAGGAUUGGGCCCUGGCAAAUGCAUUUUUAACAAACCCUCCAGGAAAGUCUGAUGUACACCAAAGUUUCAAGAUGGCAUUCAGAAGUGAGACAAAAUGGGAUGCACCAUGGAUCCAUGAAUCCUAGAAAGUUGUGUGACACUGGGUUAUGAGCUGCAUUAAAGAAAUGAGAAUUGGAAAUUGAUGCUGGAAUGUAUUUGAGUUAUCUUUGCAGCCACGAAUGGCUUUGAAUUAUAUAAUCUUAUGCUUUUCUGGUUCAUGUUUAUCUCCAUUGUUAAUUAAAAAUAUUUAUUUUUCAAUUUGGAAUUG